UGUCAAUUAGCCUGUAAGUUGCUCUGGAUAAGAGCAUCUGCUAAAUGACUCAAA
Molecule: non-coding RNA, 54 nt
Organism: Salmo salar (Atlantic salmon)
Lineage: Eukaryota; Metazoa; Chordata; Actinopteri; Salmoniformes; Salmonidae
Source: Rfam